Molecule: ribosomal RNA, 253 nt
Filed under: uncultured bacterium
Lineage: Bacteria
Description: partial 16S ribosomal RNA
Rfam family: Bacterial small subunit ribosomal RNA
Source: RNAcentral
UACGAAGGGGGCUAGCGUUGCUCGGAAUCACUGGGCGUAAAGCGCACGUAGGCGGAUUGUUAAGUCAGGGGUGAAAUCCUGGAGCUCAACUCCAGAACUGCCUUUGAUACUGGCGAUCUUGAGUCCGGGAGAGGUUGAUGGAAUUCCAGGUGUAGCGGUGAAAUGCGUAGAUAUCUGGAAGAACACCAGUGGCGAAGGCGGUCAACUGGCCCGUAACUGACGCUGAGGCACGAAAGCGUGGGUAGCGAACAGG